GAGUUUGAUCCUGGCUCAGAUUGAACGCUGGCGGCAGGCCUAACACAUGCAAGUCGAACGGUAACAGGAAGAAGCUUGCUUCUUUGCUGACGAGUGGCGGACGGGUGAGUAAUGUCUGGGAAACUGCCUGAUGGAGGGGGAUAACUACUGGAAACGGUAGCUAAUACCGCAUAACGUCGCAAGACCAAAGAGGGGGACCUUCGGGCCUCUUGCCAUCGGAUGUGCCCAGAUGGGAUUAGCUAGUAGGUGGGGUAACGGCUCACCUAGGCGACGAUCCCUAGCUGGUCUGAGAGGAUGACCAGCCACACUGGAACUGAGACACGGUCCAGACUCCUACGGGAGGCAGCAGUGGGGAAUAUUGCACAAUGGGCGCAAGCCUGAUGCAGCCAUGCCGCGUGUAUGAAGAAGGCCUUCGGGUUGUAAAGUACUUUCAGCGGGGAGGAAGGGAGUAAAGUUAAUACCUUUGCUCGUUGACGUUA
RNAcentral lists this ribosomal RNA (479 nucleotides) under uncultured bacterium. RNAcentral describes it as "bacterial SSU rRNA". It matches the Rfam family "Bacterial small subunit ribosomal RNA", at positions 9 to 477 of the family's 1533-position model. The record is from RNAcentral.